GGGGCUGACUGGAUUUGACAGCAGGAUGGAAUGUUGUGUAAGCACGCAGAGAGUUGAAGGCCGCUCUCUAUAAUCCCUGACUUUCAAAAAUUAAUUGGCGAAAAUACUUACGCUCUCGCUGCCUAAACGAAGUACAGUAGUUUACUGGCCUAAUCUCGGCACCAGGUGCUGAGACGAGACAUCGCUCAGAAGCUCUUGUUCCGAAGCGUCUGGUAAAGCGGUGCUGGAAAUUCGGGAAUAGUCGCAGCCUUGCCUCGCAGCUGCGAUGAAACUCUUGAGGCUAAGGCAUUGGUUGGUGGUCCGGGUCUUGCCAAUGCUCGAAAACCGAAGGCCGGAAUAAGCGUGUAGAAAGCACAGGGUUUCCCUGUUUGGACGAGGGUUCAAUCCCCUCCAGCUCCACU
This 401-nucleotide transfer-messenger RNA is filed under the name pig gut metagenome. It matches the Rfam family "transfer-messenger RNA". From Rfam's summary of the family: Bacterial tmRNA, also known as 10Sa RNA or SsrA, is named for its dual tRNA and mRNA-like properties. The record is from RNAcentral.